Molecule: ribosomal RNA, 495 nt
Filed under: uncultured bacterium
Lineage: Bacteria
Description: partial 16S ribosomal RNA
Rfam family: Bacterial small subunit ribosomal RNA
Source: RNAcentral
GACGAACGCUGGCGGCGUGCCUAAUACAUGCAAGUAGAACGCUGAAGGAGGAGCUUGCUCUUCUGGAUGAGUUGCGAACGGGUGAGUAACGCGUAGGUAACCUGCCUGGUAGCGGGGGAUAACUAUUGGAAACGAUAGUUAAUACCGCAUAACAGUAGAUGUUGCAUGACAUUUACUUAAAAGGUGCAAUUGCAUCACUACCAGAUGGACCUGCGUUGUAUUAGCUAGUUGGUGGGGUAACGGCUCACCAAGGCGACGAUACAUAGCCGACCUGAGAGGGUGAUCGGCCACACUGGGACUGAGACACGGCUCAGACUCCUACGGGAGGCAGCAGUAGGGAAUCUUCGGCAAUGGACGGAAGUCUGACCGAGCAACGCCGCGUGAGUGAAGAAGGUUUUCGGAUCGUAAAGCUCUGUUGUAAGAGAAGAACGAGUGUGAGAGUGGAAAGUUCACACUGUGACGGUAUCUUACCAGAAAGGGACGGCUAACUACGUG